CGUACAUUUUUCGGUCCUUCCACUGCAAUCUUUGUCUUUUACGCCAAAGUCACCGUGUUUAAACUUUUGAAACCACUCACGACAAGUUCUCUCACUUAAAGCAGACUUAUCAUAUGCUUCUACAAGCAAUCGAUGCACCUCAGCUUCAGAUUUGUUUUCAAUUGAAGAAGUAAAUUAAAAGUUGCGACAAAUGAUGCUUAUUUGGAACAAAAUUAGACAUUUAAGGAGAAACAAAAUAAUAUGAUGCUGAUACAAAGUCAAUAAUACUUCAUGCUGUCUUUCAUUUGUCAAUUUUAACCUGAACCUUGAGUAGCAUCAUCUUUUUUGUACACCUAAUAUUACUAAUAAAUUAAAGUGUAGUAUAUUAUAUUUAUUACAGAGCAAGGAUAGAUGGAAGAUUUAAAAAAAAUACUAAAAAAUUUGAACAAUGUACCGUACAUGAUAUAAUAGUAGAUGAAAACGAAUGGAUCAUCGAUAUCAUUAAAUUUUAUAAUCACGUGGUUGAUUUUAUCACAUUAAUAAAGUUGUGUUAUGAAAGAGUAUUAAUCGUCGAUGUUGUACUAGCGUCACUUAUGAUUAUUGUGGAUUAUUAUUAUGUAAAUAAAUUAUUUCAAAUUAACAUUUAAAUAUGUACACUUUUUUUUUUGCUGUAUCAAGCUAACGAUUAGUUCAUUUGUUUAGUUAUUUGAGAUACUGUCCGUAACAUUGAACACGAGUGAUGUAAUUAAAAAGGUAACUUAUGUUAUUGGAUCUGUUUCUGUAAUAUUCGCUUACAGUUAUCUCGGACAAAAAUUGAUAGACAAUCAUGAAUACAUUUAUUCAAGACUCUGUCAAAUUCCGUUUUAUACUCUAUCAUUGAAAACACAAAAGAUGUUACCAUUUUUGAUAAUGAGAAGCCUAACACCGUGUAAUCUUUCUAUAAAAGGAGUUAUCGUAAUAUGCCACUAUGUUUUUGCCUCGAUAAUGCAAACGUCAUUUUCUUAUGCUAUGAUAUUUCGUAAUUUGCUAUGAGAUUACAUUAAAUACAUACAUGUAAUUGUUCUGAGAAACAGAAUAAUUAUAAAAAGAAAAUGAAUGUAAUGAUAUUUUAUUGUUAUAUUAAUUACUUGAUUACGUAUAUGUAAUGUCGAUAAUUCUUGUAAAUUACAAACGUUGAUAAUAUAAUCACAGCACGAUAGCUUUCUUUUUAUUCAAGUUGUCACACUUUUCAUCCUAUGCUAAUAAUCAAGAUUUGCAGCAUAUAUUCUGAAUAAGAUAAUAUAUAAAAAAUAAUAAUAUUAUUAUUACGUUAAAUAAAAUUACGUUAAUUGUAAUCACUUGUAAGAAGUUCGCGCAAAAGAAAAAAAAAUUAUUCACUGGUUAUAAAAAAAUAAGUAAUCGAAGAGCAGACAAACUUACUUUAAAGUAAUACUUUAUCUUCAAGCGAUAAAAGUAAACUGAACGAGAAUAAGAUUGUAAAAAAAAAUGGUAAGAUCGCAACGCGCAUGUCAUCGUGGUGGGGGAAAUGAAAGAUUUGAAUAUGUAAA
This 1526-nucleotide unclassified non-coding RNA is filed under the name Polistes dominula (European paper wasp). RNAcentral describes it as "uncharacterized LOC107073765, transcript variant X2". The record is from RNAcentral. Lineage: Eukaryota; Metazoa; Arthropoda; Insecta; Hymenoptera; Vespidae.